UGGACGGUUCCAACAAUAUUUUCGCAUGUCUAUGGAAAAUUUUAGUUGCAAUCUUGAUUUGAUUAAAGAGGAACUAAAACCAAACCACUACGCCUCUAGGAAAGAUUUUGAAAUUUUUAGCUACCGGCACGAGUUUUGUCGAUUUGCAAUUUAGGUUCAGGAUGGGAGUGUCAACCACAACCUAUUUCUGAUUGGCUUAAAAUAUCCAACGAUUUCAUACAAUAUUGGAAUUAUCAGUUUCGGUUUCCAGUGGAUACGAUGUGCGAUGCCAAUUUGCCGAUUGGUGUGUAAAUGAAGG
Long non-coding RNA from Eupeodes corollae, 298 nucleotides. RefSeq lists it as uncharacterized. The record is from RefSeq and is a predicted model, not a curated record. The transcript has 3 exons. Lineage: Eukaryota; Metazoa; Arthropoda; Insecta; Diptera; Syrphidae.